Molecule: RNA transcript, 2271 nt
Organism: Frankliniella occidentalis (western flower thrips)
Lineage: Eukaryota; Metazoa; Arthropoda; Insecta; Thysanoptera; Thripidae
Exons: 5
Source: RefSeq, a predicted model, not a curated record
UCGAGUUCAAGAGAGGGGGAGUGCGGUGUGGAGUGUGGUGGUGGUGGACGUGUGGUGUGGUAGUGGUAGCGGUAAAGUGACGUCUGAACUUUUUGCCGGUUGUACAAAUACUCGAGUAAAAUGAUUCCCGUUACCAUUGUGCUGGAAUGUGUGAUCUGUGCUCAUCUGAACUUCUCUGGAUUUAAUCUCGCAACUGCAUUUGAGGUAAGUCACUUCAAUUUCCAUGCAAAUGUUGGGAUUCACGCCUGUACCAUGGGCCUCCUAACCUCGCACCUAGUGCCAAUCCAUGUGUUAACAUAGAGUUAAUUGCAUUUGGAGCUGUUCCUUUCAUCGUGAAUUUACUCUUUAUUUAUUUUCGAAGUGCCGCCGUGAUAGGAUCAUACUUCUCGUGAUGUUAAUCGUGAGAAACACUUGUAAAGUAGAAGCCUAGCCUUGGCCUAGCCUUGGCCUAGCCUUGGCCUAGCCUUGGCCUAGCCUAGGCCUCUGCUGCCCUGGCCUUUUGUCAUCACCUUAAUGACCCUAGAGGAGAGCAAGAGAUGAACUAUCACGUCCUGGCAGUUUUAAUGUUUACCAUGUUCAUUUUACUAGAAGUUUCAUGUUUUUCAUUUCUGUUUUUAGCCAUGGCGAAGUUUGUUGUGAAGGGACUAACCGGUGACCGCUCCCAGAAAGUGUUUAUUUGUGCGGGGGAUUUGCUGGAAUUAAGAGAAGAGAUGAAAAGGAAACUGAAGCUUCCAGAAGGAGAUUAUAAUGUCUAUCAAGCAAACGAUGGCACCAUGAUUGAUGAUGUUGGUAUAUUUCAACUGCUGGCUCAGGAAGCUAAAGAAGCCAAGGUCCAUCUAGAAGUCAUGCUGCUCACGGACAGUGCUGAUUGGACAGAUGUUUCUCUGCGGAGCCCACACUCUCCCAAUGACUACACCUCAGGGAUCUGAGCCAAAUAGAGAUCGUACUGAUAGUUUGGAAGAGAGUCUUACCUGUUCUUCUGAAAGCCAGACUUCAACACCGGUUGCCAGGCGUAGGCUCGCAUUCCCUAUCACAGAUGUGUGUGAAUUCUUGGACGAAGCUCUUGAGCGGUUGAAUUCAAAUAACCCCCCAAAGAAUAUGUUUGCCAUUAAGAAGAGAGCUGUUCGUGAGGCCUGCCAUGCCGUUGGUAGGCACAUGUUAAAGAAACUUAAAGACUACAGGAAGGUGACAGCAAGAGCUUUGGCGCAACAAAUUAUUGAUUAUGAUGGAGGCAGAUACUCUAAACUUUUUCAAGUUGUUAUCGGGAGUGCUGUGUCUGACCCUGGCUAUAAAUCUUUUACCCAGUGUAUUUAUGGUUAUGUUAACCACAAUAAGGGGCCAGAAAACAAGACUAGAAGGGGCUCACGCUCUUCUUCAAGAAGUGAAGAAGAAGAAGAUGGAGAUUUUGGUCUUUUGCCUCCGUCCCCAUCCAAACAAGACCUGUACGGCUGUGUGGCUUAUGAGGUGCCCCUACCUUUCGGAGAGACGACAUCAUCGCAAGAGGAGAAAAGACUUCAGGCUGUUGAGUUGGAAAACCGAGAAGAUGUAGAAGCCGAUACGCUGAUGGCGGCAACCUAUGCCACUCAGCGUCUUGAUAUAAACCGGGGUAAGCCCCUCAAAGUCUAUCUUCCAACUGUAGUCAGGAGCUGGCCACUAUUGCUUAGAAAGACGCAUUUUAUCAGACAUGCUCAAACUUUGCUUGGUAAAGAUGUUGAGGCUGUGUUCAACAACAAUGUUGGUAAUCAUUGGAAAACUAUCUUUGAUUUCAUCCAUCAAUAUAGUGAAACAGAAUCAAAGAAAGAAGUUGUACCUCAAACAAUUACUUCAAUGAUGUCUCUUGUCACACAAGCACUGAGCCAGAGCCAGAGUAACAGGUCAAUAGAAGCGAGAUGUAUAUCAGAGCUCUGCAAAAGUCCCCUCACUGACCGACCGAGCUGACCGGCAGGCGGUCGGCACCGACCGCCUCCUCACCUCUCACCUGCACGCGGUCGGUGCCUACCGCCUGCCGGUCGAGCUCGGUCGGUCGACGAGGCGAUUUUGCAGAGCUCUCAUGUAUAUCAAUGUUUCCGAUGAUUGCCCUAUACCUUGAUGAGAAGCUUGACAAAUUAUUUGCCCUUCUUCCUGAUACUGCUUCAGAAGAGGAAGUAGUUGCUGCUGGCUCCGAUCUGAAUGGAUACCCCAUAUUGGUCAUAAGAGGCAAAUCAAUUUUUGAAUUCACUUCCUGUGAUGUUGUGUUGGUGGGUCAAUUGAAGAUAACAGCAUCUAGCCCUC